GUUCUUUCCACAGUGCUACUUUUCGGCCUGUUAUAUGUCUCUCAGGGUGGGAUAUACGUGUUGACACUGGUGGACUGGUUUUCUUACUUCCCUGCCUUAGCGCUCUAUGCCCUUCAGAAGUGCGUCAUCGUGGGCUGGUGUUAUGGCACAAAGAGGCUGGAAGAAGAUGUCAGUAUGCUGUGGG
Haliotis rubra (blacklip abalone) is the source of this 184-nucleotide long non-coding RNA. RefSeq lists it as uncharacterized. The transcript is spliced from 3 exons. The record is from RefSeq and is a predicted model, not a curated record. Lineage: Eukaryota; Metazoa; Mollusca; Gastropoda; Lepetellida; Haliotidae.